RNAcentral lists this long non-coding RNA (3466 nucleotides) under Drosophila guanche. Lineage: Eukaryota; Metazoa; Arthropoda; Insecta; Diptera; Drosophilidae. The record is from RNAcentral.
UAUUGGGGGUGGAUAUUUCCAUACACUCUUGUUCAAGUUAUAGCUUCCACCAAUUCGCGUGCAAAGUAAACAUUCUGUAUUCUUCAGUUUCCUUUUAGCCAGCAGACAAGUUUUCGGAUUAGUUUCAACCGCAAAAAAAUCAACCUAAUUAACGCUUAAGCAAAACUCAUCCCACUCCAACUGAAAGAAUUGUACCUAAAAAAUGUCGAAAUAUCCCAACUGUGUCGGCCAAAAGUCAACUUACUACAGCACAGUAUACAAUGGAUCUGCUGUUAUGGAUGUAAAAUGUAAAUGAUACAAGAACAUCUAAAUGUUCUUCGAACUACUUUCCACAAUCGGUUUGAUCAUUUAUUUCACCAGAAAGAAAAUUUAAAAAGUAAAAAAAUAGACGUCCAUAGAAAUAAUGUAGUGUACGUGUAAAUGUAUGUACGUUUUUUUCGUACUGAUACUUACAAGCUGAUGAAAUUUAGAAGAGUUUAGGCCCUAAACUUUUGGGAUAUACAUACAUAUAUUUGUAUUAGUUUUGUGGUAAAUGUGCAUUUCUGAUCCCAAUAAUAAUAUGUCUAUCGUUUUUUACAUCUAGUCUCAGACUAUAAGAUCUAAACCAGAUUGGUUUUGUGUGCAGACUUCUUGACUCCUCCAGACUCCAGACCAAAAAUGUGUGGCGUUCAAAACUUUAAGGAACUUUUAAAGCGCAGACUCAUAAACAAUGACCAUGUCUGCACGAUUGCUGAAUCUGGAUCAGAUAAAUAUUAUUGACUUCAGAAGAAUGUGAAAAUAAAUGUUCCGUGGCUGCGCUACCCCCUUUCAUGCUUUCACUUUCUGAAUUUAAAAUAUUUAAAAAUGGAAACAGAUAAAAUAUUAUCAAAUUUGAGUGACUGCGGAAAAGGUUUAAAGUUACCCCACGUUACUAAAUGUUGGAAGAAAAUAUAUGUAUAUUCUAAAUUUGCUUCCUAUCGACCUCAAACUUUUUUAUUGUUGAAACUUUAAUAUUAACCAAUUCGGCGCACCUGCCAUUAAAUGAUUCUUGCCCUACCACUCGAUACCUGCACAUCGUCGCCGCCAGGAUUAGGCAUUCAAUAAGACACCCCCAUUAACCGACUAGCCUCUAAAAUAUGGUACGGCCUUCUACGACCUAACCAACCUGACUCUAAUGCCCUCUCCCUCGUUCCUACAUACCUUGUGUUCGCGAACGUUCUACCGCUGUAAUAUUUGUAUGUACAAUGUAUGUAGAUACGUACACUACAUAAUAAAUGAGGAGGAACUUUGUGAGACGCGCUGGAACGCUCCACAUCUUAUGCUCCACAUCUAUGCUAUGCACUCAGUCAGUAGCUCAGUCACUGUCUGAAACGACUUGAUUAUUUUUUAAUUGUUCUGUGUGUGCCUGUUGGGAAUAUUCGUUCUUAUCUUUUUGGUCUUAGGCUUUUUGCUAGUGCAUUUAAAUUGCCAUAUAACUAAAUUUGUAAAUUUUUAAAUAUUUCAAUAAUUUUUAGAUAGUUUUGUCAUUUAUUUAAUAGAAAUUUGUUUAUGUAAAACAAAUUGUAGGUUCUAAAAAUAUUCAGGAACAAAGAUAUAUACCAAUAAAUCCCUAUGGUCUGAUGGCAACUCCAAAUGUUCGGAUAAUUAAAAAACGAAAUACAGCAAAUAAAAAAGAGCGAAGACGAACACAAAGUAUAAACAGUGCUUUUUCCUACCUUCGCGAACAAAUUCCAAACGUGCCAUCAGACACGAAACUAUCCAAGGUAAGAUUCUUACUGCUUAAAUCCUGUUAAUAAUGAGCUUCAAAUUUCAAAUAUGCUUCGUAUAAUGUACAUAAAGAUUUAGAAAGCCCGAAAACUAACCAUAAACAUCUUUGCUGAUGCAAAAAUAAAUAUAAAUAUUUAUAGUUCAAAUUUAUGUUGUUUUAUCUUUAUAAAUAGGCAUUUCCGUGUCGAUUUCUGCACUUUAACCUAUUUUAAAAUUAGAUUCGUAUAACUAAUUAUUGCACAUUCAAAAAAUAAAUUCGGUUUGCACUCGUUUUCCCAAAUCGCUUUAUUGCAAUCCAUUAAGAUGGAAAAAAUGGAUGGAAAAAAUUCAAAGAGACCGAAUAAAGCUUAAGUUAACGGUCCAUUUAAAUUUUUCCUGUACUUCAUUAUUGUAAUUGCUUCGCAGCAGCGUUAGAAAAUGCUACCCUACUCUGUAGUUUUUCUGUUUUGCUGUAGUUUUAUCGGUAGCAAUAGCAGGAGCAAUAUCAAGAACCAAAGUAGCUCAGAGCUGCGAGCAAGAUGAGAGCUGAGCCAACAAGGAGGAACGUUUUGAGACUUAUAUACCCUUAUAUACCAUUCAUACCCGGUACAUAUGUAUGUACAUACAGCUCACUGAUUAGUGACUAACUGUGUCUGGGCCGCUAGCACAAAUUACGGGCCGAAAUGAAACAAAAUCGACCAAAUGUGUGUAUAUUAAGUAGGUCUGCGAAUAGGUCGUAAAGUAUUUUUGACAUUUUAAUCACGGUUUAAUUUUUUUGUAUCAAGUUCUUCUUUGCAUUAGUUGUAAGUGUGCUUUUUCGACAUAAUCUAUAAAUCAUCUGUGUGAUUAUUCAGAUGUUUAUGAAUUUCGAAAAUUAGUUUAAUAAAUAAAAAUAUAGUCCGUUAUCUGUUAAUAUGUGUAAUGUACAUGCAAAUAUUAUAUCAGUUCUACAAUACUAAAGCACCAUACUACUUAAUUCUAUUGUAACAGAUUAAAACAUUGAAACUGGCAAUUUUAUACAUAAACUACUUAGAGGAUGUUCUGGAUGGAGAACAGGAUGAAAAAGGCGUUUUUCUGGCAGACCUUAAUUCGACACAUCGUAAAACAUGUAGCGAUCAGAAUAAGUCCCUAAAUAGUGAUUUUCACGUAAGAUUAAUAUUUACAUUAUAUAUAAUUAUUUGAGGUCUUUUUGCGCUGCCGCCCGCCUGUUAUUUGUGUUAUAUUUUAAUAAAUUAAUUUUUUUUAAUUGUUUGACUAUUUGCUCAAAUAAGCUCACAUUGAUACGUACUGUAUAUAGCUCAAAAUGUUCACGAUCAUUUUUUUUGCGUUUGACGCGACUGUAUUCGUUUAAUGCUAUUUGAAGUAGUGGUAAAAAUUAUAUAUGUAUACCGGACUGUGCUCCUAAUAUCGCUAGACCUCGAUGUUCUUCGUUUAAUCAAAAAAUGUAUCUAUGAGCUAAGCAACGUCUCACAAUGUUCGUCCUCGUUUUUUUGUGUACCCCCACCGCCAUCCUACACCUUUAAAUUCCGUACCAGCAACAGGUUAAAGAUUGUCAAUAAUCAAAAUAUUAAACAGUCGCACCGAAAAAUAAAGUAAUAAAAUGUGCUCUUGUUUUUUUACAGAAUAUUCGAAUACCGACUAAUGGAAGAACAGGUUGGCCACAGGAUGUUUGGGCUUCUGAGCUUAAUCCUGAUCAAAACUAGACUUAACUGUAUUAAAUUAAUGAUUAAUUAUAAAAAAA